AACUCUAGAGCUAAUACAUGCAUCAAUCCCUGACUUCCUGGAAGGGGUGUACUUAUUAGAUGGAAACCAGUGCGGGUUCGCCCGGAUUAUGGUGAUUCAUAAUAAUUUUCGGAUCGAUCAAUUGAUCGAUGCAUCAUUCAAGUUUCUGCCCUAUCAGCUUUGGAUGGUAGGGUAUUGGCCUACCAUGGCAUUAACGGGUAACGGAGAAUUAGGGUUCGAUUCCGGAGAGGGCGCCUGAGAAACGGCGACCAGUUCCAAGGAAGGCAGCAGGCGCGUAAAUUACCCAAUCCUGACACAGGGAGGUAGUGACAAUAAAUAACAAUGUCGGGCCUUCGGGUUUGACAAUUGGAAUGAGAACAAUUUAAAUCCCUUAUCGAGGAUCAAUUGGAGGGCAAGUCUGGUGCCAGCAGCCGCGGUAAUUCCAGCUCCAAUAGCGUAUACUAAAGUUGUUGCAGUUAAAAAGCUCGUAGUUGAAUUUCUGGUUUCGGAGUGCGGUCUGCCCCGUGGGGUAAGUAUCAGCGCUCGGGAGCCAUCCUCGAGGAGAACAUGCCUGUGAUUGAGUUCAUGGGUAUGGGAGCCUCGUCUUUUACUGUGAGCAAACUAGAGUGUUCAAAGCAGGCUUACGCCGUUGAAUACAUUAGCAUGGAAUAAUAAAAUAGGACUCUGGUCUAUUUUGUUGGUUAGUACUCCAGGGUAAUGAUUAAUAGGGACAGUUGGGGGUAUUCGUAUUCAAUUGUCAGAGGUGAAAUUCUUGGAUUUAUGGAAGACGAACUACUGCGAAAGCAUUUA
RNAcentral lists this ribosomal RNA (789 nucleotides) under uncultured microeukaryote. RNAcentral describes it as "SSU rRNA". It matches the Rfam family "Eukaryotic small subunit ribosomal RNA", at positions 154 to 957 of the family's 1831-position model. The record is from RNAcentral.